CACGGCCAAUUUGGUGACUUUUGGUUCUGAGAUGCCUGGCCAGUUGAGACUCUUGUGGGGGGGAAAAAAAAAGCGCAGGACUUUUCUUUCUGUAUAUGUUUUCCUUAGUAUUAGUGGCAUGACAAACUCCCUCCAUAAUUAAUGGUUUGCAAUAAUUCUUUGUUUGUGUAAUGUUUGGGAUAAACUGGCUACUUGGAGUAAGGUCCUGCAUUUAUGAGAAGG
Molecule: non-coding RNA, 222 nt
Organism: Pelobates cultripes (western spadefoot toad)
Lineage: Eukaryota; Metazoa; Chordata; Amphibia; Anura; Pelobatidae
Source: the annotation of a GenBank genome assembly